GUUUUACUGUAAUUUGUAACAUUUAUACCCUGAUGGAUAUCCUAAAAAGAUAUAGUUUAGCUCUAGGCGUUACAAUUCGAUCCAUCUAGAUUAUGCAAAACAAGAGUUAAACUUGGAUGAAAAUGAUGCAUGUAAGAAGAACGGACUGUGAGAGCUAUCGAAGGAUUCAUCACUAGAGGAGAUAUUCACAGCUGAGUCACGAGCCGUGUAAGUAACACCAGAGCUUCUACGAUUAACAAUCGCAGCUCUAAGAUUGCCUUGAAUCAGAGAUUGAGCUUGCCUGGAUGCAAUUGGAGAAACAUAGUCGGGUGAAAAAGAUAAUUAAAAAGGCCUAACUAAACAAGAAGUCCAACAUAUGCUAAUUACUUGAUCAUUGAAGAAAUCAAACGAGGAAGAAGUAGUAGUCUUCACUUUUUUGUGACCUUUCACUAAUUUUUGUGUGUCUCUAGAUCAAGACCAUACUAUUUUUUGUAUAACAUGUUGGAACUUUAAAUUGUAUUUUGAAUACCCAUUUAGGAUGAAUGUCAUUUUGAUAUAAAGUAAUUUUGCAAAA
Arabidopsis lyrata subsp. lyrata is the source of this 553-nucleotide long non-coding RNA. RefSeq lists it as uncharacterized. The transcript is spliced from 2 exons. The record is from RefSeq and is a predicted model, not a curated record. NCBI's taxonomy places the organism in Eukaryota, Viridiplantae, Streptophyta, Magnoliopsida, Brassicales, Brassicaceae.